GGGUUGUGAGGUUAAGCGACUAAGCGUACACGGUGGAUGCCCUGGCAGUCAGAGGCGAUGAAGGACGUGCUAAUCUGCGAUAAGCGUCGGUAAGGUGAUAUGAACCGUUAUAACCGGCGAUUUCCGAAUGGGGAAACCCAGUGUGAUUCGUCACACUAUCAUUAACUGAAUCCAUAGGUUAAUGAGGCGAACCGGGGGAACUGAAACAUCUAAGUACCCCGAGGAAAAGAAAUCAACCGAGAUUCCCCCAGUAGCGGCGAGCGAACGGGGAGCAGCCCAGAGCCUGAAUCAGUGUGUGUGUUAGUGGAAGCGUCUGGAAAGGCGUGCGAUACAGGGUGACAGCCCCGUACACAAAAAUGCACAUACUGUGAGCUCGAUGAGUAGGGCGGGACACGUGGUAUCCUGUCUGAAUAUGGGGGGACCAUCCUCCAAGGCUAAAUACUCCUGACUGACCGAUAGUGAACCAGUACCGUGAGGGAAAGGCGAAAAGAACCCCGGCGAGGGGAGUGAAAAAGAACCUGAAACCGUGUAC
This 532-nucleotide ribosomal RNA is filed under the name Shigella flexneri. RNAcentral's name for it is "partial 23S ribosomal RNA". It matches the Rfam family "Bacterial large subunit ribosomal RNA", at positions 1 to 563 of the family's 2925-position model. RNAcentral also lists the same sequence under 1 other name. The record is from RNAcentral. Lineage: Bacteria; Pseudomonadati; Pseudomonadota; Gammaproteobacteria; Enterobacterales; Enterobacteriaceae.